UCAUUACAGUUAGCAGUAGUGCUCAGC
This 27-nucleotide small RNA is filed under the name Bombyx mori (domestic silkworm). RNAcentral describes it as "ovarian small RNA-3283". Lineage: Eukaryota; Metazoa; Arthropoda; Insecta; Lepidoptera; Bombycidae. The record is from RNAcentral.